This 1586-nucleotide ribosomal RNA is filed under the name uncultured eukaryote. Its description in RNAcentral is "partial small subunit ribosomal RNA". It matches the Rfam family "Eukaryotic small subunit ribosomal RNA", at positions 25 to 1625 of the family's 1831-position model. The record is from RNAcentral.
CAUAUGCUUGUCUCAAAGAUUAAGCCAUGCAUGUCUAAGAAUAAGCCCCAGAAUGGUGAAUCUGCGAAUGGCUCAUUAAAUCAGUUAUUGUUUAUUUGAUGGUACCUUACUACUUGGAUAACCGUAGUAAUUCUAGAGCUAAUACAUGCUUCAAAGCCCGACUUCGGGAGGGGUGCAUUUAUUAGAUUCAAACCAUCGGCUCUCUUCUUUUUGAUGGUGAGUCAUAAUAACUUAGCGAAUCGAAUGGCUUUUACGCCGUCGAUGCUUCAUUCAAAUUUCUGCCCUAUCAGCUUUCGAUGGUAGGAUCUUGGCCUACCAUGGCUAUAACGGGUAACGGGGAAUUAGGGUUCGAUUCCGGAGAGGGAGCUUGAGAAACGGCUACCACAUCCAAGGAUGGCAGCAGGCGCGCAAAUUACCCAAUCCCGACACGGGGAGGUAGUGACGAUAAAUAUCGAUGCUGGAUUAAAUUUAAUCCGGCAAUUGAAAUGAGAGUAAUUUAAAGCAAUACUCGAGGAACCAUUGGAGGGCAAGUCUGGUGCCAGCAGCCGCGGUAAUUCCAGCUCCAAUAGCGUAUAUUAAAGUUGUUGCAGUUAAAAAGCUCGUAGUCUGAGUCUUGGUCAUCCGGGAUUCUGCGUCCAGUGCCUAGCGUCUUGUGCAUGCAGCCUGGUGGCUAUUUGUACUUCAGAGGAACAUGUGUGCUUUUCACUAAGUGCGCUUGGGAUUCUGAUAGUUUACUUUGAGAAAAAUAGAGUGUUCAAAGCAGGCGAUUUGCCUUGAAUACAUUAGCAUGGGAUAAUGAAAUAGGACGUUGGUUCUAUUUUGAUGGUUUACGGACCGACGUAAUGAUUAAUAGGGACAGUUGGGGACAUUCAUAUUCCAUGGCUAGAGGUGAAAUUCUUGGAUUCAUGGAAGAUGAACUACUGCGAAAGCAUUUGUCAAAGAUGUUUUCAUUGAUCAAGAACGAAAGUUAGGGGAGCAAAGACGAUCAGAUACCGUCGUAGUCUUAACCAUAAACGAUGCCGACUAGGGAUCGGUGGGAGUUAGUUUUUAUGACUCCAUCGGCACCUCAUGGGAACCCAAAGACUUUGGUUUCCGGGGGGAGUAUGGUCGCAAGGCUGAAACUUAAAGGAAUUGACGGAAGGGCACCACCAGGAGUGGAGCCUGCGGCUUAAUUUGACUCAACACGGGAAAACUCACCAGGUCCAGACAUGAGAAGGAUUGACAGAUUGAGAGCUCUUUCUUGAUUCCAUGAAAGGUGGCGCAUGGCCGUUCUUAGUUGGUGGAGUGAUUUGUCUGGUUAAUUCCGAUAACGAACGAGACCUUAACCUGCUAACUAGUCACGGGAAGCCUUGUGCUUGCCGGCAGUACUUCUUAGAGGGACAAUCUGUUUCCAGCAGAUGGAAGUUUGAGGCAAUAACAGGUCUGUGAUGCCCUUAGAUGUCCUGGGCUGCACGCGCGCUACACUGACGAGUUCAACGAGUAUAUAACCUUGGCAGAGAUGUCUGGGUAAUCUUUUGAACGCUCGUCGUGAUGGGGAUAGAUGAUUGCAAUUAUUCGUCUUGAACGAGGAAUUCCUAGUAAGUGUG